This 253-nucleotide ribosomal RNA is filed under the name uncultured bacterium. RNAcentral describes it as "partial 16S ribosomal RNA". It matches the Rfam family "Bacterial small subunit ribosomal RNA", at positions 524 to 776 of the family's 1533-position model. The record is from RNAcentral.
UACGUAGGGGGCUAGCGUUGUCCGGAAUUAUUGGGCGUAAAGAGCUCGUAGGCGGCUUGUCACGUCGGAUGUGAAAGCCCGGGGCUUAACCCCGGGUCUGCAUUCGAUACGGGCUAGCUAGAGUGUGGUAGGGGAGAUCGGAAUUCCUGGUGUAGCGGUGAAAUGCGCAGAUAUCAGGAGGAACACCGGUGGCGAAGGCGGAUCUCUGGGCCAUUACUGACGCUGAGGAGCGAAAGCGUGGGGAGCGAACAGG